Macaca mulatta (Rhesus monkey) is the source of this 412-nucleotide non-coding RNA. The record is from RefSeq and is a predicted model, not a curated record. NCBI's taxonomy places the organism in Eukaryota, Metazoa, Chordata, Mammalia, Primates, Cercopithecidae.
AACCAAUGGAGGCUGCAGAACAGCAAAGAUUUUUGCCUGCUCCUUCCUCUGGAAGCUUCGUCCCAGAGGGGUACUGACCUGAUGCCAGUUGGAACUCUCCUGCAUGAGGAAGAAACUAAAUUCUAGUACUUGGAUGCCAAUUUGCUGAGGACAUGGCACUUCCUGAUAAUCAGCCUGGAAUUCCGAGCAGCAGUUUCACAACCUGUAAUUACACGUUUCUGCCCUUUGCAAUAAGGAAAUACACAGUUUCCUUUCAUUUUCAAGUCUGAGGCUCUUUUGGAUGCUGUAGGAAAGAACAUAGGCUGUUACCUAUGGCAGGUGAUUCCUUUUCUGACUAGGAACUUGGGAGUAGAAUCUUAGAAAACACUUGAUUUAUUGAUGUGUAAUAAACGCAAGAAAGGAGGUGAGCUGA